GUGGCUAUGGUGUAACGGCAGCACAGGAGUUUGUGGAGCUCCUAGAGGCGGUUCGAAUCCGCUUAGCCACCCA
This 73-nucleotide transfer RNA is filed under the name Candidatus Wildermuthbacteria bacterium RIFCSPHIGHO2_01_FULL_47_27. RNAcentral describes it as "tRNA-His". It matches the Rfam family "tRNA". From Rfam's summary of the family: Transfer RNA (tRNA) molecules are approximately 80 nucleotides in length. RNAcentral also lists the same sequence under 2 other names. The record is from RNAcentral. Lineage: Bacteria; Candidatus Wildermuthiibacteriota.